Molecule: long non-coding RNA, 156 nt
Filed under: Sus scrofa (pig)
Lineage: Eukaryota; Metazoa; Chordata; Mammalia; Artiodactyla; Suidae
Description: lncRNA (ENSSSCG00070014170.1)
Source: RNAcentral
CAUCAAGCCCAGACAGUACUUCGCCGAGGCUUAAAGGGGUUAACGUGUUACCGAAGAGGAGCUCUCUGUUGGGGAAGCCACAGAAAGGGAGGUGACAGACUUGGAAUCUCAGUGUCACCAAGAAGCAGAUCUGUGACUAAGGGUUGAGGGUCAGAC